UACGUAGGGGGCUAGCGUUGUCCGGAAUCAUUGGGCGUAAAGCGCGUGUAGGCGGCCCGGUAAGUCCGCUGUGAAAGUCGGGGGCUCAACCCUCGGAUGCCGGUGGAUACUGUCGGGCUCGAGUACGGAAGAGGCGAGUGGAAUUCCUGGUGUAGCGGUGAAAUGCGUAGAUAUCCGGAGGAACACCGGUGGCGAAGGCAGCGUACUAGGCUGUAACUGACGCUGAGGCACGAAAGUGUGGGGAGCAAACAGG
RNAcentral lists this ribosomal RNA (253 nucleotides) under uncultured bacterium. RNAcentral describes it as "partial 16S ribosomal RNA". It matches the Rfam family "Bacterial small subunit ribosomal RNA", at positions 524 to 776 of the family's 1533-position model. The record is from RNAcentral.